UCGUGCCGUCCACCGAACGGUCGGCAGGCGAUCCGCGUCGGUCGCGCUGGGUGGUAUGGUUCCCCAGAGGCCGGUUCUUGUGCUGCCUACCCCUUCAGGGGAAGCGUGCCGCUUGAUGCAAGCCUCCAUCCGGCGCCCCCCAACWGGCGCAGGAGGACAACGGAGCACCCCCCGCGUUCCACCGAGCCUCCGUCGGUCGCUUGGCGCGCGGGGAAGUGCGAUGCUCUCGGACCCAGCGAACGCCGUGGGCGAGGACUCACGUCCCAGUCCCGAUGGAAGCUCCCAUAUAANGCSGACGGCCGCUCCCGUCCCCCGACCGCCCCGGCGGCGWGGGG
RNAcentral lists this unclassified non-coding RNA (335 nucleotides) under Acacia pteraneura. RNAcentral describes it as "partial external transcribed spacer". Lineage: Eukaryota; Viridiplantae; Streptophyta; Magnoliopsida; Fabales; Fabaceae. The record is from RNAcentral.